AACCCGGGGUGUUUGUCCCUAGUAACGGCGAGUGAGCGGCAACAGCUCAAAUUUGAAAUCUGGCCCCCCCCCGAGUUGUAAUUUGUAUAGGAAGAUUCUGGUGUGGCGCCGUCCGAGUCUCCUGGAACGGGGCGCCGUACAGGGUGAAAGCCCCGUAUCGACGGAGGCCAAACCUGUGUGAAGCUCCUUCGACCACUUCAGUUGUUUGGGAAUAUUGUAAAUA
Molecule: ribosomal RNA, 223 nt
Filed under: uncultured Schizothecium
Lineage: Eukaryota; Fungi; Ascomycota; Sordariomycetes; Sordariales; Lasiosphaeriaceae
Description: partial 28S ribosomal RNA
Rfam family: Eukaryotic large subunit ribosomal RNA
Source: RNAcentral